RNAcentral lists this microRNA (20 nucleotides) under Corchorus olitorius. Its description in RNAcentral is "mmu-miR-466i-". The record is from RNAcentral. Lineage: Eukaryota; Viridiplantae; Streptophyta; Magnoliopsida; Malvales; Malvaceae.
UGUUUGUGUGUGUGUGUGUU